AGUCGUGGGGCAGCGCAGGUAGCAAUACUGGGCGGCGACCGGCAAACGGGUGCGGAACACGUACACAACCUUCCGAGAAGUGGGGAAUAGCCCAGAGAAAUUUGGAUUAAUACCCCGUAACAUAACGAUGUGGCAUCACAUUGUUAUUAUAGCUUCGGCGCUUCUUGAUGGGUGUGCGGCUGAUUAGAUAGUUGGCGGGGUAACGGCCCACCAAGUCUACGAUCAGUAGCUGAUGUGAGAGCAUGAUCAGCCACACGGGCACUGAGACACGGGCCCGACUCCUACGGGAGGCAGCAGUAAGGAAUAUUGGUCAAUGGACGCAAGUCUGAACCAGCCAUGCCGCGUGAAGGAUUAAGGUCCUCUGGAUUGUAAACUUCUUUUAUCUGGGACGAAAAAAGGCGAUUCUUCGUCACUUGACGGUACCAGAUGAAUAAGCACCGGCUAACUCCGUGCCAGCAGCCGCGGUAAUACGGAGGGUGCAAGCGUUAUCCGGAUUCACUGGGUUUAAAGGGUGCGUAGGCGGGCAGGUAAGUCAGUGGUGAAAUCCUAGAGCUUAACUCUAGAACUGCCAUUGAUACUAUCUGUCUUGAAUAUUGUGGAGGUAAGCGGAAUAUGUCAUGUAGCGGUGAAAUGCUUAGAUAUGACAUAGAACACCUAUUGCGAAGGCAGCUUACUACGCAUNNNNUGACGCUGAGGCACGAAAGCGUGGGGNNNAAACAGGAUNNNNNNCCCUGGUAGUCCACGCCCUAAACGAUGAUUACUCGACAUUUGUGAUACACUAUAAGUGUCUG
Molecule: ribosomal RNA, 791 nt
Filed under: uncultured bacterium
Lineage: Bacteria
Description: bacterial SSU rRNA
Rfam family: Bacterial small subunit ribosomal RNA
Source: RNAcentral